Molecule: ribosomal RNA, 511 nt
Filed under: uncultured bacterium
Lineage: Bacteria
Description: bacterial SSU rRNA
Rfam family: Bacterial small subunit ribosomal RNA
Source: RNAcentral
AGAGUUUGAUCCUGGCUCAGAUUGAACGCUGGCGGUAUGCUUAAGACAUGCAAGUCGAACGGAAUCUUCGGAUUCAGUGGCGGACGGGUGAGUAACACGUGGGAAUCUACUGAGUAGUGGGGGACAGCCCGGCGAAAGCCGGAUUAAUACCGCAUACGCCCUACGGGGGAAAGCAGGGGAUCUUCGGACCUUGCGCUAAUAGAUGAGCCUAAGUCAGAUUAGCUAGUUGGUAGGGUAAUGGCCUACCAAGGCAACGAUGAGUAGCUGGUCUGAGAGGAUGAUCAGCCACACUGGAACUGAAACACGGUCCAGACUCCUACGGGAGGCAGCAGUGGGGAAUAUUGCGCAAUGGGCGAAAGCCUGACGCAGCAACGCCGUGUGAGGGAUGAAGGCUUUCGGGUCGUAAACCUCUGUCGGAAGGGAAGAACGGGCAUUGGUCUAAUAGGCCUUUGUUUUGACGGUACCUUUAGAGGAAGCACCGGCUAACUCCGUGCCAGCAGCCGCGGUAAUA